This 465-nucleotide ribosomal RNA is filed under the name uncultured bacterium. Its description in RNAcentral is "partial 16S ribosomal RNA". It matches the Rfam family "Bacterial small subunit ribosomal RNA", at positions 28 to 507 of the family's 1533-position model. The record is from RNAcentral.
GACGAACGCUGGCGGCGUGCUUAACACAUGCAAGUCGAACGGAAAGGCCCUGCUUGCAGGGUACUCGAGUGGCGAACGGGUGAGUAACUCGUGGGUGAUCUGCCCUGCACUUCGGGAUAAGCCUGGGAAACUGGGUCUAAUACCGGCUAGGAGCCAUUUUUAGUGUGAUGGUUGGAAAGUUUGUUCGGUGUAGGAUGAGCUCGCGGCCUAUCAGCUUGUUGGUGGGGUAAUGGCCUACCAAGGCGGCGACGGGUAGCCGGCCUGAGAGUGUGGACGGCCACAUUGGGACUGAGAGACGGCGCAGACUCCUACGGGAGGCAGCAGUGGAGAAUAUUGCACAAUGGGCGCAAGCCUGAUGCAGCGACGCCGCGUGGGGGAUGACGGCCUUCGAGUUGUAAACUCCUUUCGCUAGGGACGAAUCUUUUUGUGACGGUACCUAGAUAAGAAGCACCGGCUAACUACGUG